Molecule: ribosomal RNA, 253 nt
Filed under: uncultured bacterium
Lineage: Bacteria
Description: partial 16S ribosomal RNA
Rfam family: Bacterial small subunit ribosomal RNA
Source: RNAcentral
UACGUAGGAGACGAGCGUUGUCCGGAGUUACUGGGCGUAAAGGGUGCGCAGGCGGCCUGGCGCGUCGCGAGUGAAAUCUCCCGGCUCAACUGGGAGGGUGGUCGCGAGACGGCGAGGCUUGAGGCUCGGUGAGGGGCGUGGAAUUCCGGGUGGAGCGGUGAAAUGCGUAGAGAUCCGGAGGAACACCAACGGCGUAGGCAGCGCCCUAGACGAGACCUGACGCUCAGGCACGAAAGCGCGGGGAGCGAACAGG